RNAcentral lists this ribosomal RNA (373 nucleotides) under uncultured bacterium. RNAcentral describes it as "bacterial SSU rRNA". It matches the Rfam family "Bacterial small subunit ribosomal RNA", at positions 29 to 428 of the family's 1533-position model. The record is from RNAcentral.
AACGAACGCUGGCGGCAGGCUUAACACAUGCAAGUCGAACGGUUGUAGCAAUACAGCAGUGGCAGACGGGUGAGUAACACGUGGGAACCUUCCUAGGGGUACGGAACAACUCAGGGAAACUUGAGCUAAUACCGUAUACGUCCGUGAGGAGAAAGUUUUAACGCCCCUAGACGGGCCCGCGUAGGAUUAGGUAGUUGGUGAGGUAACGGCUCACCAAGCCUACGAUCCUUAGCUGAUCUGAGAGGAUGAUCAGCCACACUGGGACUGAGACACGGCCCAGGACUCCUACGGGAGGCAGCAGUGGGGAAUCUUGGACAAUGGGCGCAAGCCUGAUCCAGCCAUGCCGCGUGAGUGAAGAAGGCCUUGGUUGUAA